GGCUCGAUAGCUCAGUUGGUAGAGCAGAGGACUGAAAAUCCUUGUGUCACUGGUUCAAUUCCAGUUCGAGCCACCA
This 76-nucleotide transfer RNA is filed under the name Opitutaceae bacterium. Its description in RNAcentral is "tRNA-Phe". It matches the Rfam family "tRNA". From Rfam's summary of the family: Transfer RNA (tRNA) molecules are approximately 80 nucleotides in length. Their secondary structure includes four short double-helical elements and three loops (D, anti-codon, and T loops). The record is from RNAcentral. Lineage: Bacteria; Pseudomonadati; Verrucomicrobiota; Opitutia; Opitutales; Opitutaceae.